RNAcentral lists this ribosomal RNA (1375 nucleotides) under uncultured bacterium. RNAcentral's name for it is "bacterial SSU rRNA". It matches the Rfam family "Bacterial small subunit ribosomal RNA", at positions 18 to 1393 of the family's 1533-position model. The record is from RNAcentral.
CCUGGCUCACGAUGAACGCUAGCGACAGGCUUAACACAUGCAAGUCGAGGGGCAGCACAGGUAGCAAUACCGGGUGGCGACCGGCGCACGGGUGAGUAACGCGUAUGCAACUUACCUAUCAGAGGGGGAUAACCCGGCGAAAGUCGGACUAAUACCGCAUGAAGCAGGGGUCCCGCAUGGGGAUAUUUGCUAAAGAUUCAUCGCUGAUAGAUAGGCAUGCGUUCCAUUAGGCAGUUGGCGGGGUAACGGCCCACCAAACCGACGAUGGAUAGGGGUUCUGAGAGGAAGGUCCCCCACAUUGGUACUGAGACACGGACCAAACUCCUACGGGAGGCAGCAGUGAGGAAUAUUGGUCAAUGGGCGUAAGCCUGAACCAGCCAAGUCGCGUGAGGGAUGAAGGUUCUAUGGAUCGUAAACCUCUUUUAUAAGGGAAUAAAGUGCGGGACGUGUCCCGUUUUGUAUGUACCUUAUGAAUAAAGAUCGGCUAACUCCGUGCCAGCAGCCGCGGUAAUACGGAGGAUCCGAGCGUUAUCCGGAUUUAUGGGUUUAAAGGGUGCGUAGGCGGCCUUUAAGUCAGCGGUGAAAGUCUGUGGCUCAACCAUAGAAUUGCCGUUGAAACUGGGGGGCUUGAGUAUGUUUGAGGCAGCGGAAAUGCGUGGGGUAGCGGUGAAAUGCUUAGAUAUCACGCAGAACCCCGAUUGCGAAGGCAGCCUGCCAAGCCAUGACUGACGCUGAUGCACGAAAGCGUGGGGAUCAAACAGGAUUAGAUACCCUGGUAGUCCACGCAGUAAACGAUGAUCACUAGCUGUUUGCGAUACAGUGUAAGCGGCACAGCGAAAGCGUUAAGUGAUCCACCUGGGGAGUACGCCGGCAACGGUGAAACUCAAAGGAAUUGACGGGGGCCCGCACAAGCGGAGGAACAUGUGGUUUAAUUCGAUGAUACGCGAGGAACCUUACCCGGGUUUGAACGCAUUCGGACCGAGGUGGAAACACCUUUUCUAGCAAUAGCCGUUUGCGAGGUGCUGCAUGGUUGUCGUCAGCUCGUGCCGUGAGGUGUCGGCUUAAGUGCCAUAACGAGCGCAACCCUUGCCACUAGUUACUAACAGGUGAUGCUGAGGACUCUGGUGGGACUGCCAGCGUAAGCUGCGAGGAAGGCGGGGAUGACGUCAAAUCAGCACGGCCCUUACAUCCGGGGCGACACACGUGUUACAAUGGCGUGGACAAAGGGAAGCCACCUGGCGACAGGGAGCGAAUCCCCAAACCACGUCUCAGUUCGGAUCGGAGUCUGCAACCCGACUCCGUGAAGCUGGAUUCGCUAGUAAUCGCGCAUCAGCCAUGGCGCGGUGAAUACGUUCCCGGGCCUUGCACACACCGC